RNAcentral lists this ribosomal RNA (223 nucleotides) under uncultured bacterium. Its description in RNAcentral is "partial 16S ribosomal RNA". It matches the Rfam family "Bacterial small subunit ribosomal RNA", at positions 524 to 744 of the family's 1533-position model. The record is from RNAcentral.
UACGUAGGGUGCAAGCGUUGUCCGGAAUUAUUGGGCGUAAAGAGCUCGUAGGCGGUCUGUCGCGUCGGCCGUGAAAACCUGCAGCUUAACUGUGGGCGUGCGGUCGAUACGGGCAUCACUGGAGUUCGGCAGGGGAGACUGGAAUUCCUGGUGUAGCGGUGAAAUGCGCAGAUAUCAGGAGGAACACCGGUGGCGAAGGCGGGGUCUCUGGGCCGAUACUGAC